UAAAUCUCCAUGGGUAGUUGCGUCGGA
This 27-nucleotide small RNA is filed under the name Bombyx mori (domestic silkworm). RNAcentral describes it as "ovarian small RNA-18481". Lineage: Eukaryota; Metazoa; Arthropoda; Insecta; Lepidoptera; Bombycidae. The record is from RNAcentral.